Molecule: transfer RNA, 59 nt
Filed under: Aedes aegypti (yellow fever mosquito)
Lineage: Eukaryota; Metazoa; Arthropoda; Insecta; Diptera; Culicidae
Description: partial tRNA-OTHER
Rfam family: tRNA
About the family: Transfer RNA (tRNA) molecules are approximately 80 nucleotides in length.
Source: RNAcentral
GGCUCGGUAGCUUAGUUGGUAAAGCGCAAGAGUCCUGGGUUCAAAUCCCAGCCGAGCAC